GAUCAUGGCUCAGGUUGAACGCUGGCGGCGUGCUUAACACAUGCAAGUCGAACGGACUUUAUAUGAAGCCUAGCGAUUAUAAAGUUAGUGGCGGACGGGUGAGUAACGCGUGAAUAACCUGCCCUGUACCGGGGGACAACAGUUGGAAACGGCUGCUAAUACCGCAUAAGCGCACGGUUCCGCAUGGAACAGUGUGAAAAACUCCGGUGGUACAGGAUGGAUUCGCGUCUGAUUAGCCAGUUGGCGGGGG
RNAcentral lists this ribosomal RNA (250 nucleotides) under uncultured bacterium. RNAcentral's name for it is "partial 16S ribosomal RNA". It matches the Rfam family "Bacterial small subunit ribosomal RNA", at positions 15 to 258 of the family's 1533-position model. The record is from RNAcentral.